GCCCAGAUGGCGGAAUUGGUAGACGCGUCGGUCUCAAACACCGAUGGGGUAACACUCGUGCCGGUUCGAUCCCGGCUCUGGGCACCA
This 87-nucleotide transfer RNA is filed under the name Bacteroidales bacterium KA00251. RNAcentral describes it as "tRNA-Leu". It matches the Rfam family "tRNA". From Rfam's summary of the family: Transfer RNA (tRNA) molecules are approximately 80 nucleotides in length. Their secondary structure includes four short double-helical elements and three loops (D, anti-codon, and T loops). Lineage: Bacteria; Pseudomonadati; Bacteroidota; Bacteroidia; Bacteroidales. The record is from RNAcentral.